Molecule: ribosomal RNA, 544 nt
Filed under: uncultured bacterium
Lineage: Bacteria
Description: bacterial SSU rRNA
Rfam family: Bacterial small subunit ribosomal RNA
Source: RNAcentral
UACGGGAGGCAGCAGUGGGGAAUAUUGCGCAAUGGGGGGAACCCUGACGCAGCCAUGCCGCGUGAAUGAAGAAGGCCUUCGGGUUGUAAAGUUCUUUCGGUAUUGAGGAAGGUUGAUGUGUUAAUAGCACAUCAAAUUGACGUUAAAUACAGAAGAAGCACCGGCUAACUCCGUGCCAGCAGCCGCGGUAAUACGGAGGGUGCGAGCGUUAAUCGGAAUAACUGGGCGUAAAGGGCACGCAGGCGGUUAUUUAAGUGAGGUGUGAAAGCCCCGGGCUUAACCUGGGAAUUGCAUUUCAGACUGGGUAACUAGAGUACUUUAGGGAGGGGUAGAAUUCCACGUGUAGCGGUGAAAUGCGUAGAGAUGUGGAGGAAUACCGAAGGCGAAGGCAGCCCCUUGGGAAUGUACUGACGCUCAUGUGCGAAAGCGUGGGGAGCAAACAGGAUUAGAUACCCUGGUAGUCCACGCUGUAAACGCUGUCGAUUUGGGGGUUGGGGUUUAACUCUGGCGCCCGUAGCUAACGUGAUAAAUCGACCGCCUGGAG